UCACUGACGCUCAUGGACGAAAGCCAAGGGAGCGAAAGGGAUUAGAUACCCCUGUAGUCCUGGCCGUAAACGAUGAACACUAGGUGUCGGGGGAAUCGACCCCCUCGGUGUCGUAGCCAACGCGUUAAGUGUUCCGCCUGGGGAGUACGCACGCAAGUGUGAAACUCAAAGGAAUUGACGGGGGCCCGCACAAGCGGUGGAGUAUGUGGUUUAAUUCGAUGCAACGCGAAGAACCUUACCAGGGUUUGACAUCCUGCGAAUCUCUUGGAAACAGGAGAGUGCCUUCGGGAACGCAGUGACAGGUGGUGCAUGGCUGUCGUCAGCUCGUGUCGUGAGAUGUUGGGUUAAGUCCCGCAACGAGCGCAACCCACGUCUUUAGUUGCCAGCAUUUAGUUGGGCACUCUAGAGAGACUGCCGGUGAUAAACCGGAGGAAGGUGUGGAUGACGUCAAGUCAUCAUGCCCCUUACAUCCUGGGCUACACACGUACUACAAUGCUACGGACAAAGGGCAGCAAGUUCGCGAGGACAAGCAAAUCCCAUAAACCGUGGCUCAGUUCAGAUCGUAGGCUGCAACUCGCCUACGUGAAGGCGGAAUCGCUAGUAAUCGCAGGUCAGCAUACUGCGGUGAAUACGUUCCCGGGCCUUGUACACACCGCCCGUCACACCAUGGAAGUUGGCCACGCCCGAAGCCGUUACUCCAACCCUUGUGGAGGAGGACGUCGAAGGUGGGGCUGAUGACUGGGGUGAAGUCGUAACAAGGUAACC
Molecule: ribosomal RNA, 765 nt
Filed under: uncultured marine microorganism
Description: bacterial SSU rRNA
Rfam family: Bacterial small subunit ribosomal RNA
Source: RNAcentral